AUGCUGCAGAAUUUUUGGUAGUUGACUAGAUGAUAUGGUUAAUUCAACUGAGUUGGCAUUCUGUUAACAGUUUGUGAGCAAUGUUACAAGUUAGAGUUAUGGUUAAAUGAAUGGAUUUGGUUUGCACUUAGUUUUAACUAUGAAUUUGGGUUUACCAUGGAAAAAUGCAGGACUCAAAUGAGGUAUUUCUACUGUCAUUGCAGGAUGCAGGGUGAAGUGCAUUUCCUCAUGGUGCAACUAUUGGUGUAUUAUCUUGACUCGUUAGGAAAUGAUUGGACAACAUACCCGGAUAUGAAGGUCCUAAUUGACACCGUCCUACAAGCUUUUCGGGCCCAACGAGAUAUCCAAACCUCAAGG
This is a long non-coding RNA of Lathyrus oleraceus (garden pea), 357 nucleotides long. RefSeq lists it as uncharacterized. The transcript has 3 exons. NCBI's taxonomy places the organism in Eukaryota, Viridiplantae, Streptophyta, Magnoliopsida, Fabales, Fabaceae. The record is from RefSeq and is a predicted model, not a curated record.